This is an RNA transcript of Callorhinchus milii (elephant shark), 3500 nucleotides long. It is a transcript of the gene named protocadherin-20, with no coding region annotated. The record is from RefSeq and is a predicted model, not a curated record. The transcript has 3 exons. Lineage: Eukaryota; Metazoa; Chordata; Chondrichthyes; Chimaeriformes; Callorhinchidae.
GCAGGGGAUCAGGGCAGCAGGCGCGGGGCUGCCACACAGCCAAGCGGACACGGGAUGGGUUGGAGUCUGCUAUUCCUGGGGUUGUUGAGCGGCUUUGCAGGCUGUGGGCUUGCGUUUGAUCUCGUGUACCGAGUGAAGGAAGGGCUGCCCAGAGCCAGGCUCAUCGGGAAUAUCAGAGCCGACCUGAAGAUGGAGCAGGAGGGAGAUGCCCGCAUCACCUACAACCUGCAGCCCGAGGCGGUGAGGUUCGUGGAGCUGGAGAGAGCCAGUGGGCAGCUGCUGACCUCGGACACUGCCCUGGACCGCGAGUCCCUGUGCGCACAGCCCUCGCCCGGGCAGCCCUGCGCCCUGCUCCUCGAUGUCAUCAUCCUGCCUCAGCGCUACUUCAGGCUGGUCAAGGUGCAGGUCAUCGUGGAGGACAUCAACGACAACCCACCCCGCUUCCCGCUGGACCAGCUCAGCCUCUCCAUCCCGGAGAACUCCGAGCUGGGAGCCCGCUUCCCGGUAGAGCCGUCAGCGGAGGACGCAGACGUCGGGGCGAACGGCCUGCAGAGCUACCGCCUGCUCGGCUCCCAGGGCCGCUUCUCCCUGAGCACGGAGCGGGCUGAGGACGGCCGGCUGGUGCCUUGGCUGGUGGUCAGGGCAGCGCUGGACCGGGAGCUGGAGGACGUGUACGGGAUGAGCCUGGUCGCCGAGGACGGCGGCUCUCCCCGGCUGUCGGGCAGCGUCUCCCUCACCGUCACCAUCACCGACAUCAAUGACAACUGUCCCGAGUUCACCCGGACCCACCUGGACGUGACCGUCUUGGCCAACACCACGGUCGGCACCAGUCUGGCUCAGCUCCACACCACCGACCCGGACCUGGGCCACAAUGCCCACACCGAGUACUCGUAUAGCGACCGGGUUUCCCUGACGUCCAGGAAGCUGUUCAGGUUGGACAAGAUGUCGGGGGUCAUCACCUUGGCGGCCCCCAUCCAGAGAGACACCGCCCCGGCCCACAGGUUGACCGUCCUGGCCACCGGCUCGGGCUGCAUCCCGGUGAUAGCCUUUGUCCAGCUGCGGGUGGUCAGGCUGGGGUCCAGUCCCCCAGUGGUGACCCCCCGGUACAUCGCCCUGCAGUCCGACGGGGUCGUGUACCUGAAGGAGACGGAGCCGGCGCCCACGCCCAUCGCGUUCUUCACCGUCACGGACCCAGAGGAGGAGGAGGAGGAGAAGCAGGAGGUCAGGUGUUACCUGGAAGGUGAGGGGCCAUUCCGCCUGGUGCCUUACCUCACCUUUAAAGACGAGUAUUUGCUGGAAACCUCGCAGCCCCUGGACUAUGAGCUGAAGCGGGGAUACGAGCUGGCGGUGGUGGCUGAGAACACCAAGGGCCUGACCCUGCGGACACGCCUCACGGUGCAGCUCAUAGACCAGAACGACAACUCUCCCGCCUUCACCAACUCCCUGGUCGAUGUGAGCAUCGAAGAAAAUAACCCCCCCGACACGUUCCUCAUCCAACUCAAGGCCACCGACGACGACAGCGGGAAGAUGGGUGCCAUCGCUUACACCCUGGAGCCCGGGUCGCCUCCCUGCUUCGCCUUAGACCAGGUGACUGGGGUCUUGGCGGUGUCUGCUUCCCUGGAUCGGGAAGUGCGGGAAAAGUACCGGCUGAUGGUCAGGGCGACAGACGGCGGGUCACCCGCCCGGGAAUCCACAGCCACGGUCCUCGUCACCGUCCUGGAUAAGAACGACAACAAGCCCCGCUUCAUCAACAAGGACUUCAGCUUCUUCGUUCCCGAAAACUUCCCAAGUUUCGGCGAGAUCGGCGUGGUGGGGGUCACCGACCCCGACGCCGGGAGUAAUGGCUGGCUGGCCCUGUCCGUGCUGAAUGGCAGCGAGCACUUCGUCAUCGACACCGGGAAAGGGAACCUCAUGGCGAAGGUGCCCUUGGACAGGGAGCAGCAGAGCUCUUACGUGCUGUGGGUCCAGGCUAUCGAUGGGGGGAAGCCCGCUCUGUCUGCUGUGGCUCAGGUCACCAUCCUUCUGCUGGAUGUCAAUGACAACCCACCCGUGGUCCUGUUCCCACAGUCCAAUCUCUCUUUCCUCCUGGUGCUUCCAUCCACUGCCCCCGGCUCCUCCAUCACCGAGGUGUACGCCGUGGAUAAGGACACGGGCAUGAACGCGGUCAUCGCUUACACCAUCAUUGGCAGGAGAGGACCCCGUCCCGAGUCCUUCGGCAUCGACACCAGCACAGGGAACAUCACCUUGCAAGAGUCCCUGGUGAAGAGUGACUGUGGUUUGUACAGGUUGCUGGUGAAAGUCAGCGAUCACGGCUAUCCAGAGCCACUGCACAGCACAGUCAUCGUCAACCUGUUUGUCAAUGAAACGUUAAGCAAUGAGAGCUACAUAGAAAACUUACUCAGGAAAGAUACCAACAUCAGGAUAGAAGAAAGUGUGCCCGAGACAAGGGUCGAUCCUUUCCAGACAAAGUUGGACCAAUUCCCGUGUCAGGGUGUGUUGAUAGCAUUAUCAGCGACAUGUUUUGGCCUUUUGACUGUGAUGUUUUCUUUGAUGUGCUGUCUUUUCUUGAAAAAAAGGAAGCACAAAAGUAACGAUUACAAUGUCGCAGAGGUUGAGAUCCCAUUAAACAAAUCGAUUGCUUCACACUCACUGGAGAAGAAACCAAUGAACGAUUCCGAUCUGUAAGUGGCAUGGUUCAACUGAUCAAUUAUAUGAUCAACACAUCGUUUACAAGUAAUACUGGACAAUGCUUUGCAGCUAUCACCGUUUGUGUAUUAAAUUUGGUUGGCAUGAAGGAAAUAUAAGUUAUAGACAUCAAAUCUGAUUGUCAUGUAUCUGAUACAGUAUAUUGUUUACAGAACAAAAUUAUAUUCUAUAAAGUACUGUAAAACUAGUGGUCUAUUCACAAAACUGCACACUGUUCCGUUUUUGUUUUAUACUGAAAUUUGCAUGCAGCCUUUUGGAUCUUUGGUUAAAAUCCUGCAUCUCUUCAUUUGACAACUUGGGAAUGGCUGGAUUCAACUCCAAGGAUGAAGAGUAGAGGAAUUGGAAGCCAGACACUGGCCCAUUCCUUCAGCUGGAAAGAGGGACAGGAAACGCUGAGGUUACCUUCUCUCAAGGAGCUGUUGAGUGAAACUAUACAUAUCUAGAAAAGUGACGAUCAGCCACCAGGAACAUCAGCAGAUAUGCUUUUAUUUGACCAGUUACUUUUUUCUCAAGAAUUGCCUUUCUGAAACCAAAUUAGCAUUAUUGUACUAAGAGGUGGCACUGAUUGAUGCAGAAUACUGUACUGCGAUCUCUUAACAGAAGACUCGAGAGGGGUGGCUGACUUCUUUUAUUUCACUUUCCAUCCAGCAAGAUCUGCAGCAUGGAUUUUAAACUGUAUGAGAUUAUUCACAAGGAAAACAAUGAGAAUCAAUACUCAAGACAAUUCCAUAAAUUCUUUCCACAAAUUCUUGCAUUUCUUCGAACAUGUUUAUUGCAAUUAUAAGAAAAUCCCU